Molecule: transfer RNA, 65 nt
Filed under: Upogebia pusilla (Mediterranean mud shrimp)
Lineage: Eukaryota; Metazoa; Arthropoda; Malacostraca; Decapoda; Upogebiidae
Description: tRNA-Gly
Source: RNAcentral
GCUUUUUUAAUAUAACAAGUAUAGUUGGCUUCCAACCAACCAGUCUAAAAUCUUUAGAAAAAGCA